UCACGGCCCGCGACUCCGCUCCGGUAAAUACGAAGCCCGGCUGAGGGGGAGGAGCGGCGGACCCGCAACUUCCCUCCCCGCCGCGCGCACCGCCGGGCCUAGACCUCCCUGACCGCCGGACCGGGCGAGCCCGCUACGUGCUCCCGCUGGGCCGCCGCCGCCUCCUGCGCCGCCGCUUCCGCCGGUGAAUGGUCAGCGCUGGAGUUUGAACAGGGCCCUGAACCAUCUCAACGCCAUUUGCGCUCCCGGCCCCCACCUCCUUCCUCCAACAGCCGCUCGCUCCGUCACUCCGCUUCCCACAGGCCCCGCGCGGCGUCCGACCCCGCAGCCAAUCGCGGGGCCGCUUACUCAAACCGCCGCGCAGGCGCCGCGCCCCGCACGCGCCGCCGCCCGCCAUUGGCCAGGCAGUGGGGAAUGACGGGAGUUGUAGUCGCGGUGCGCGAGAUCGCGGGACCGCGAGUCCCGCGCGUGACGGAGCGAGGGGGUUGUGGAGCUGCCGAGGCUUCGAGCCUCGCCUGCUCUGGGUCCGGAGCCGGUUCCCGCACCCCGGCACCACCGGGAGACGCAGGUGCCGCUGGGGUCCCCGGGGGCGCAGUGCACGCAGCUGUGUCAAUCGUUUCCCCUCCAGGGAUUCGGCGGCGUCUGGGGAUGGUGGCUGGUGCAGCUGCUCAGGGCCUCAGGGGCCGCCGCCGGGAGCGGGAGCCUGCAGACCGAAGCCGCGCGGACUCGGCCGGCUCAGGGACCCGCGGCCGGGAGCCCUGCGCCCGCCCCGCCUGGGAACUGCGACCCCCAGCAUCCCGCACGCAGCAGCCGCGUCGGGGCCGCUAACGGCGAUGCGAAGUUUUUUUAUUAAAGCGUGCGCAGCUCUUCAGGGGCCUCAUUGGUGUCCCGGCCUCCUGUCCCCUCUCACAUUGGAAGGAAAGGGAAAGGCUGACACUUGCUCAAGGCCUUCGACGGAGGGAAUCCAACUUUUUCUUGACUAUCAGCUGCCCAUCAGUGCGCAUGGCUAUUCUUCCAUCUGGCAGAAAGAGGUUGCCCUCCUUGUACUGCCUGGAGGAGGGCAGAGCUGAAUACCAGCUUUCCCUGAGGAGGAAAUCCUACUGGACCUGAUAGUGCACGCCUGAGGCAGGAGGAUCUCGUUGAACUACAAUGGCAGAGCCUGUCUCAGAAAAGAAACCUCCACAGACACCAUGCUGCUGUGCCCACGUUCUACGCGUGUCAGAACUGGAGAUGCUAACGCAGCCCUCUGAGUCUUCUCAUACCUCACACGGAACGGCAUGCAGGAAUUACCAUGUUAGAGCAAGCCAUCUCCCCUGUGCCUAGGGCCUAGGACGAGGAAGAAAAUAGUUAAACUGUCCAUCUAUCUGCACAGUGUGGUUCUGUUCCAACACCUGAAGGCAGCCCUUCCUGUCGGGUGCCCCUGUCUGUUUUUGUUGGUUUUUUGGUUUUUGUUUUUUUUUUUUUUUUGUCUUUUUGAGACAUGGUCUUGCUAUGCAGUUCAGGCUGGCCUUGAGCUCACUUUGUAGCCCAGGCUGAUCUCGAACUCACAAUGAUCCUCCUACCUCAGCCUCCCGAGUGCUGGGAUUACAGGCGUGCGCCACCACUCCCCACUGCUGGCCCUGUCUGUGUCCUGGCUCCUUUCUGUCCCCCAGGAAGUCCUCUGCCACGUCCUCCACUGACUUCUCCGACUGUCAUUUCUUUUAGGUUUUCGCUGAGCACUCCGCCUACUUUAAAUCUCGCAGCCAAGCUCACUGUCCCAAGUGCUGCUUCUCCUCGGUGCACACCACCCCAUCCCGCAUGUCAGUUCUCGGGCUUGUGCUACAUGUUCACCUGCCCUGUGACAACGGGCUCUGCCUCUGGUUUUCUGGUGUAGCCUUAGCAUCUAGAAGAAUGCCUGGCACAUAGUUGGUGUUCAAUAAAUAUUUGUUGAAGUUGAGCAUGGAGGUGCACACCUGUAGUCCUAGGGCUUAGGAGACUGAGGCAGGAGGAUCGCCUGACCUACAGAGCUGGAGGCCAGCAUGAACUAGGAAAAAAUUGUAUCUUGCAAAGAAAAUGACUUGAUGUUAACAACAGCUGGGAACCACCUGCAGGCUCCCGCCAAUUGUUAAGAGUUUCCCAGUGGGGAGGGGGUGCUUCAGGAGGUACCUUUUGUUCCUAUAAAGCCGGAAGAUGAAUGGCAAUUACCUUGUUUUCCAGGAUAAUUGGAAUCUGUCCUCUGGAGAGGGUGCAUCCUCCCUGGGGAAUGAAUUAUAGCCUCAAAGCCUCUACCAGCUCACACUUCCCAACCUUUGUCCUGAAAACAGCCCUCUCCUCCCCAGGGUCCUCACCCCUGUGGCCCUCACCUCCCCAGUGGCCCAUGCCUGUAAGACUGAGGCAGGAGGAUUUCUGAGGCUAACCUGGGCCACAUAGUUUAAGGCUAACCUGAACUAUAGUGCAAGAUCCUGUCUAAAAAAUAAAUAAAUAAAUAAAACAAGCCAGGCAGGGUAGUGCAUGCCUGUAAUCCCAGCACUCGGAAGGCUGAGGCAGGAGGAUUGUUGUGAGUUUGAGACCAGCCUGAACUGCAUAGCAAGACCCUGUCUCAAAAAAAAAAAAAAAAAAGACAAACCUGCCUAAAGCUACCCCAUCCUCGAGCCAUACCUUUGCAAGUUGACUUUAGAUGCCUCCCAGGAUAUUUGUUGACCCUGUGAGUUGCUCCAGCCAAGGGAAGGUGGCAGAUGUGACAUCAGUUCUGAGUUUGGCCUUGAAAAACCUUACAGAUCUAUAUCACCUUCUGGAUCCCUGCCUCCGCCUAGGACAGCAGGCCCAAACUGGCCUGCAGGAGAAGUCACACAGCAUAAAGCGUCCAUAGCACCCAGCUGGCUGAAGCAGGCUCCAAACCCCAUAGCACCCAGCUGGCUGAAGCAGGCUCCAAACCUCAUCUGCAAAGCCACGCCCUGCCCUGCAGCCACUAAACACUCCUGGCUGGCACCCCUGAAACGGAGGUGCUGCGGGGCUCAGCUACAGUUGAUGAGCAAGAGCAGCCAGGUGUUCUGUCACCUCUGAAUCGGCGUUUGUCAUUCAGCACUAUCGUGGUGGUAGAGGGUUGUACAGCAGUGGUUUCUGUGGUUAUGGAAAGCAGCUCUGUGGUCAGUGUCCUGUUUUUUGGGAGGGGUGUACAAGGUCUCACUAGGUAGUCCCGACUGGCCUCAAAUGCAAGAUCCUCCUGCUUUGGCCUUUCCAGUGCUGGAUUAUAGGCAUGUGUCCCUAGCCCAGACUCACAGUAUAUUAAUAACUCUCAGCAUGUUUGCUUAUUUUUUAUUAUCUCUCACCACACUAGAAUGUCACCUAUGGGAAGACAAUGAUCUUGUGUGUUGUGACCCCUGUUGUAACCUAAGCUCCAUAGUCCAGGGUCAUAGCCACAACUGUGUGCCUCUGGGCCCUUGAAAUGUGAAAUGUGCCUGGCAUGGUGGCACACACCUGUAAUUCCAGCACCUGGGAGACUGAGGCAGGAGGAUUUCUGCAAGUUUAAGACCAUCCUGAACCACAUAAUAAGACCCUGUCCAAAAAAAACAAAGACUAAAAUGUGUUACUUUUUUUUCAUAAAAUUUUUUAAAAACUUAAAAAUGUAAAAUGCACAGAGGGGAGGAGGGGUUGAAAGGAGGAUAGGAGAAUGGGGAAAAGAAAAAAUGUAAAAUGCACAUUGGCUUUUAGAGGCUUAGCUCAAAAAAAAUAUAAAGUCUGUUGAUAAUUUUCACAUUGAUUAUAUGGGGUUUUUUUCGGUUUUUGUUUUUUUUUUUUGUCUUUUUGAGUCAGGGUUUCGCUAUACAGUUCAGGCUAAACUUGAACUCACUUUGUAGCCCAGGCGGGUCUCAAACUCAUAACAAUUCGC
Molecule: long non-coding RNA, 3868 nt
Filed under: Chinchilla lanigera (long-tailed chinchilla)
Lineage: Eukaryota; Metazoa; Chordata; Mammalia; Rodentia; Chinchillidae
Description: lncRNA (ENSCLAG00000023926.1)
Source: RNAcentral